Molecule: regulatory RNA element, 101 nt
Organism: Terrisporobacter sp.
Lineage: Bacteria; Bacillati; Bacillota; Clostridia; Peptostreptococcales; Peptostreptococcaceae
Rfam family: Purine riboswitch aptamer
About the family: Riboswitches are metabolite binding domains within certain messenger RNAs that serve as precision sensors for their corresponding targets. Allosteric rearrangement of mRNA structure is mediated by ligand binding, and this results in modulation of gene expression.
Source: Rfam
UAAAAAAUAAAGAAAAAUAUUCGUAUAUAAUGGUAAUAUGGUCCAUAAGUUUCUACGAACUCACCGUAAAUGAGAUCACUAUGAAUAGUUACAGAAUCUUA